UUUGCCUUCAAUUUCUUGAUGUAACUAUUGGCUACAAUUUCUAUACCUUGUUCAUCGUACUGGAGAUGCUACUUCAUAUGGAGCUACUGGAGAUGCUACUUCAUAUGGAGCUGGUAUGUAGAAUGAUUAUCACGAGUACUUCAAGCGCUCAUUUGAAUUACUGUAUAUUGACAUGUCUCUUUGGUUUUGCAUAUAUGGUCUGGUCCUGAAAGAAUCUUGUGUGGAUGAAUGAUGCAGUGCAGUAGGUUGGUAGCUUGUAGUACAGGAACGGGUUGGCAGGCCAACUUUGAGAUUUGCGUUAUGUUGCCAGCUCAUGC
Molecule: long non-coding RNA, 317 nt
Filed under: Zea mays
Lineage: Eukaryota; Viridiplantae; Streptophyta; Magnoliopsida; Poales; Poaceae
Description: long non-coding RNA (ZMAY_LNC002834)
Source: RNAcentral